Molecule: ribosomal RNA, 219 nt
Filed under: uncultured bacterium
Lineage: Bacteria
Description: partial 16S ribosomal RNA
Rfam family: Bacterial small subunit ribosomal RNA
Source: RNAcentral
UAAUGUAUGGGGAUCUGCCCGAUAGAGGGGGAUAACUACUGGAAACGGUGGCUAAUACCGCAUAAUGUCUACGGACCAAAGCAGGGGCUCUUCGGACCUUGCACUAUCGGAUGAACCCAUAUGGGAUUAGCUAGUAGGUGGGGUAAAGGCUCACCUAGGCGACGAUCUCUAGCUGUCUGAGAGGAUGAUCAGCCACACUGGGACUGAGACACGGCCCAG